RNAcentral lists this ribosomal RNA (702 nucleotides) under Lactococcus lactis. Its description in RNAcentral is "bacterial SSU rRNA". It matches the Rfam family "Bacterial small subunit ribosomal RNA", at positions 57 to 742 of the family's 1533-position model. Lineage: Bacteria; Bacillati; Bacillota; Bacilli; Lactobacillales; Streptococcaceae. The record is from RNAcentral.
GCAAGUUGAGCGCUGAAGGUUGGUACUUGUACCGACUGGAUGAGCAGCGAACGGGUGAGUAACGCGUGGGGAAUCUGCCUUUGAGCGGGGGACAACAUUUGGAAACGAAUGCUAAUACCGCAUAAAAACUUUAAACACAAGUUUUAAGUUUGAAAGAUGCAAUUGCAUCACUCAAAGAUGAUCCCGCGUUGUAUUAGCUAGUUGGUGAGGUAAAGGCUCACCAAGGCGAUGAUACAUAGCCGACCUGAGAGGGUGAUCGGCCACAUUGGGACUGAGACACGGCCCAAACUCCUACGGGAGGCAGCAGUAGGGAAUCUUCGGCAAUGGACGAAAGUCUGACCGAGCAACGCCGCGUGAGUGAAGAAGGUUUUCGGAUCGUAAAACUCUGUUGGUAGAGAAGAACGUUGGUGAGAGUGGAAAGCUCAUCAAGUGACGGUAACUACCCAGAAAGGGACGGCUAACUACGUGCCAGCAGCCGCGGUAAUACGUAGGUCCCGAGCGUUGUCCGGAUUUAUUGGGCGUAAAGCGAGCGCAGGUGGUUUAUUAAGUCUGGUGUAAAAGGCAGUGGCUCAACCAUUGUAUGCAUUGGAAACUGGUAGACUUGAGUGCAGGAGAGGAGAGUGGAAUUCCAUGUGUAGCGGUGAAAUGCGUAGAUAUAUGGAGGAACACCGGUGGCGAAAGCGGCUCUCUGGCCUGUAACUG